AGUAAAAACGCAUUAGCAUCGUUAUUUUCAUAUUAAGAUAAAUUAUUAUCGAUACAAACUCAGUAUCGGAAAAUCGACCCACCCACCCCUAGAGCCUACGAGUGAACGCAUUGUGAACAACCGAAGAGUAUGACAACUGAACAGCGGCUUAUUGCUCACAGGGAGGCUUGCGCCAAUUCUUAUCUUUCUGUGGCUUUACGGAACUAGUUUUUCAAGCUCGUUGAAGCACUAUGGAAGUAACGUAAAGAAUAGUGAAAGAGGGAAUAUGGGAAUAUUUCGAAAACAGCCAUUGUAUAGUGUGGAGGUGGGAAACCGCAAGUUCUUCCUUGUUUGAAGUAAGUUAACGUUAGGCCUGAGCGAAAAAUCGUGUUGACUUUUCAUGGGAAAAAAAACAGCAAUAAAAGUAAUCGAUUUUGUUCGUGACAGUAUAAUUUCCGAAUAAACUUGUGAAAAUAGUGCUGUAUCGAUCAUUCACGAUGACGGAUCCUUACGAGCACAUCUCAAAAACACCAAGAAGAUCAGGACCUAAAAUACAUUUACAAGGGGCAGGCAGACAGAAGCAUGAAUUAUAUCCUGAGGCUCAGAAUAAUUUAUCAAGAAUGGUACAACAGGGCGGAGGUAUGGCUUC
Triplophysa dalaica is the source of this 628-nucleotide long non-coding RNA. RefSeq lists it as uncharacterized. NCBI's taxonomy places the organism in Eukaryota, Metazoa, Chordata, Actinopteri, Cypriniformes, Nemacheilidae. The transcript has 4 exons. The record is from RefSeq and is a predicted model, not a curated record.